GAGUUUGAUCAUGGCUCAGGAUGAACGCUAGCGGCAGGCUUAACACAUGCAAGUCGAGGGGUAGGUCAUUUCGGUGACUGAGACCGGCGCACGGGUGCGUAACGCGUAUACAAUCUGCCUUUUACUGGAGGAUAGCCCGAAGAAAUUUGGAUUAAUACUCCAUAGUAUUAUAGGAUGGCAUCAUUUUAUGAUUAAAGAAUUUCGGUAAAAGAUGAGUAUGCGUCCCAUUAGCUAGAUGGUAAGGUAACGGCUUACCAUGGCAACGAUGGGUAGGGGUCCUGAGAGGGAGAUCCCCCACACUGGUACUGAGACACGGACCAGACUCCUACGGGAGGCAGCAGUGAGGAAUAUUGGUCAAUGGGCGCAAGCCUGAACCAGCCAUGCCGCGUGCAGGAAGACGGUCCUAUGGAUUGUAAACUGCUUUUGUACAGGAAGAAACACUCCUACGUGUAGGAACUUGACGGUACUGUAAGAAUAAGGAUCGGCUAACUCCGUGCCAGCAGCCGCCGUAAC
Molecule: ribosomal RNA, 513 nt
Filed under: uncultured Flavobacterium sp.
Lineage: Bacteria; Pseudomonadati; Bacteroidota; Flavobacteriia; Flavobacteriales; Flavobacteriaceae
Description: bacterial SSU rRNA
Rfam family: Bacterial small subunit ribosomal RNA
Source: RNAcentral